AGUUUAAGGAAAUAAUCUUAAAUGAAUUCUGCCCAGUGAUUUUUUUUUAAAUGGCCGCAGUACCUUGACUGUGCUAAGGUAGCAUAAUCAAUUGGCUUCUAAUUAAAGUCUGGAAUGAAAGGAAAUAUGAAGUAAUUCUAUCUUAAAGGAUUUUUUUUGAAUUUAUUUAAAUGAUGAAAAUAUCAUUUUAUAGAAAAAAGACGAGAAGACCCUUAGAGUUUUGAUAUUUAUAUAUUUUUGUUGGGGCGACAGGUAAACAUAUAACUUUACGAAUUAUCAUUGAUCGAUUUUUUAUAAGAAUAAUAAAACUACCUUAGGGAUAACAGCAUUAUAUUUUUUUUUAUGAUUGUGACCUCGAUGUUGGACUAGGAACUUUAUGGCUAGCCGUCAAAAAAGAUUUGUUCUGUUCGAACAAUUUUAUCCU
Molecule: ribosomal RNA, 424 nt
Filed under: Biomphalaria straminea
Lineage: Eukaryota; Metazoa; Mollusca; Gastropoda; Planorbidae
Also listed under: 1 other name
Description: partial 16S ribosomal RNA
Source: RNAcentral